Long non-coding RNA from Mastomys coucha (southern multimammate mouse), 1216 nucleotides. RefSeq lists it as uncharacterized. Lineage: Eukaryota; Metazoa; Chordata; Mammalia; Rodentia; Muridae. The transcript has 2 exons. The record is from RefSeq and is a predicted model, not a curated record.
GUUCAUCUGCGGGCGGACUGGGGUGGAAGAGUGCCUAAGACAGAAAAACAACAGUACCGUCCAAGAAAAACAUGGCUCCGUCAUGAGCAAUUCGUACUGAACAGAGAGAAUUCCAGUCUACUUGAGUCUACAGGGGCUGAGCGGAGCCCUACUUGGAAGUGUGCACUCUGUCUGGAACAUUCUCUUCGACCUCACCCUUUCUUUGCUGCCCCCAUGGCGUACCCAGUGAAUGGUGUCCUCUGGCUCACAGCUUCUAUCAAUCCCAAAGGGUGAGAAUAAGACCACCACCAUAAUUUUGAGCUAAAUUUGAAGCAAGCUUUAAUUAAAAGAUAGUCCAGGAUGAUGGACUCUAGCCAGAUCCAUCCCAGAAUUCCUGGAAAAUGGCCAUGAGCUACAUUGGCCAAGUGCUUACAAAGACAAACCCACAAGGCCACAUACUUCCUGCCUUUGUCCAAUCUGGGACAAGCAUACAUCCCGACCUACUUCCUGCUUAGAAGCGAUCAAGCACAGCUGUUACAGCUGGGUCAACCAAACUUGUUUAGGGGUGAGGAAACAUGCAGCUUGUUAUCUUAUAUGAACAGCAGUCAGCAGAAUUUCAGAAGUGCCUGUCCUUGGGUGUGGGGCUCACAGGCUAGAGGCAUUUUUAUUCUCUGGAUCUCUUGGGCACAGGAAUCAAAACUUGGAAUGUUUCUUUGGCUCUUACACUUCCUAGUGCUUCACACCAGUGUUUUCAAAGUGCCAGCCCGUGAAGCAGCAGCAGCAGCAGCCACCUCCCCCUUGCAAACGUGUGAGAAUGAGCAUCCAGAGGACCACCCCACAUACACAUAUACCUUCUGAAUGUCAACAUGGAGUGCUUUAAUGGACAAGACAAUGGAAAGCCAUUAUCUGCGCCUUUGUUUCCCCCUCCUUUCAACAUAAGCAAAAUGCUGCACUUGUUUCUAGUGGUGCUUCCUAUGAAAUACCAUAUUAAGUGUCCGAGUUAAUAUGGUAUGCCUCACAGAAGUGCGUGAGGGCAUAGUGCAGGAGAGGAAAAGGCUGCAUAACAUGCAUGACUGUUAUUCACACACAGUCCCAACUACACCAAAGACUUGACUCUGAUCCUUAAUGACAUCCACUGACUAUUCUGGGGCUAUAAAUAGCUUGUCCUCAGUGUAAAGACAUUCAGGGGUCUUAAAAAAUAAAAAAAUAAAAAAAUAAAAAAACAACAACCAGGCAA